Molecule: ribosomal RNA, 357 nt
Filed under: Bacillus thuringiensis
Lineage: Bacteria; Bacillati; Bacillota; Bacilli; Caryophanales; Bacillaceae
Description: partial 23S ribosomal RNA
Rfam family: Bacterial large subunit ribosomal RNA
Source: RNAcentral
GUCGGUCCCAAGGGUAUGGCUGUUGGCCAUUUAAAGUGGUACGCGAGCUGGGUUUAGAACGUCGUGAGACAGUUCGGUCCCUAUCUGCCGUGGGCGUUCGAGAUUUGAGGGAAGCUGCUCCUAGUACGAGAGGACCGGAGUGGACGUACCCCUGGUGUUCCGGUUGUCACGCCAGUGGCAUUGCCGGGUAGCUACGUACGGACAGGAUAACCGCUGAAAGCAUCUAAGCGGGAAGCCCCUCCCAAGACAAGAUCUCGCUGGAACUUUAAGUUCCCUGUAGGUCCGUUAAAGACUAUGACGUUGAUAGGCUGGGUGUGGAAGCACAGUAAUGUGUGAAGCUAACCAGUACUAAUUGAC